AUGUGGAGGAUAUUUGGCUUCGCACUUUGCGCCAAUCACCCGCCUGUCUUGCAGUUGCCUCUUCAUCUCCCAAAUAUGCACAGGGUUGCAUUCAAUGCGCAGGCUGACUUGAAGAAUGUUGUCGCCUCCGAAAAUGCUUCAAAAUCCAUGUUAACGGAGCAUUUCAAGGCUAACCAGGAACACCCUUGGGCUAGGCAUAUAUUGUACAAGAAUUUUCCCGGAAGCUUCACGUGGCAGCAGAAAAAUAAGUCUUGGAGGCCUCGGGUCGAGCGUUUUCAAAUAGGUCACAUAGUGUCUGCCAAUCCUGCCGAGGGGGAGCGAUACUACCUGCGUGUGUUGCUAAACCAUGUUGCGGGCAAACCAUCCUUUGACGACUUGCUCACCAUUGACGGCGUGCUAUGUGGGAGCUUUAGAGAGGCUGCUGAACAGUUGGGUCUCAUUGAGGCAGACAACACGCUUGACGACUGUCUUAGUGAGGCUGAGCAGUGGGCGAUGCCAUGUUCUCUUAGGAGGAUCUUUGCUACCAUAUUGGUGCACUGCGAGCCAGGCGACGUGCAUGGUUUAUGGGAUAGGCACCUCGAGUCUAUGUCAGAUGACUAUCGUUGA
RNAcentral lists this ribosomal RNA (606 nucleotides) under Triticum aestivum (bread wheat). RNAcentral describes it as "partial small subunit ribosomal RNA". The record is from RNAcentral. Lineage: Eukaryota; Viridiplantae; Streptophyta; Magnoliopsida; Poales; Poaceae.